RNAcentral lists this ribosomal RNA (390 nucleotides) under uncultured eukaryote. RNAcentral describes it as "SSU rRNA". It matches the Rfam family "Eukaryotic small subunit ribosomal RNA", at positions 587 to 972 of the family's 1831-position model. The record is from RNAcentral.
AGCUCCAAGAGUGUAUAUUAAAGUUGUUGCGGUUAAAAAGCUCGUAGUUGGACUUAAGGUGAAGGUGCGGAGUCCCUGGUGGCAUUGCUGCUGGGAUAAAGGCUUUGUUACUUUCUCCUAUUUCUAGGGACGCAAAACACCGGGGCAACUUGGUGGUCUCUCAGGAUUUACUUUGAAAAAAUUAGGGUGUUAAAAGCAGGCGAAUCGCCUUGAAUACAUAAGCAUGGGAUAAUGAAAGAUGACCUUUUGGUCUAUACUUUAUUGGUUUCUAAGGCCGAGGUAAUGAUUAAUAGGGACAGUUGGGGUCGCUUGUAUUCAGUGGUCAGAGGUGAAAUUCUAGGACCCACUGAGGACAAACAAAUGCGAAGGCAUUCGACAAGGAUGUUUUCA